This 253-nucleotide ribosomal RNA is filed under the name uncultured bacterium. RNAcentral's name for it is "partial 16S ribosomal RNA". It matches the Rfam family "Bacterial small subunit ribosomal RNA", at positions 524 to 776 of the family's 1533-position model. The record is from RNAcentral.
UACGUAGGUGGCAAGCGUUACCCGGAUUUAUUGGGCGUAAAGGGAACGCAGGCGGUCUUUUAAGUCUGAUGUGAAAGCCUUCGGCUUAACCGGAGUAGUGCAUUGGAAACUGGGAGACUUGAGUGCAGAAGGGGAGAGUGGAACUUCAUGUGUAGCGGUGAAAUGCGUAGAUAUAUGGAAGAACACCAGUGGCGAAAGCGGCUCUCUGGUCUGUAACUGACGCUGAGGUUCGAAAGCGUGGGUAGCAAACAGG